Long non-coding RNA from Centropristis striata (black sea bass), 773 nucleotides. RefSeq lists it as uncharacterized. Lineage: Eukaryota; Metazoa; Chordata; Actinopteri; Perciformes; Serranidae. The transcript has 5 exons. The record is from RefSeq and is a predicted model, not a curated record.
GAAGAAGAAGACUACUUCCGUUCUGGAUCUCUUUCACCGGCACCGUGGUAGAGUAGAGCUGCUGUGCUUCAGCUCAUCAGCAUGCCGUCUGUAAUUAUCUCACUUUUCUGUCUAAUUCUGGAGUUGACUGCCGAAGAUCCGCCGUGAGCAGGAAGCUUUGGCUGAUCUGAAAUGAGGCUAAUCUUCGUGCCAAUAAAGACGAUGUUCUUCAUCGCAAUGAAAGGUUCUUCCGUCUCACUUGACACUGACUGAGAAUGAGGCCGGCUGCUGAAAAGCAGGUGUUGAGAAUCUGCAAAGAACGACUAAGAUGAAACAUUGGUGCAGAGGAAAGUUGAUCAGGUGAAAUCAGUGGGGAAUUGGACACAGCACUAGUAUGGGAUUGAUCCGGAAGUCUUAUGUCACCGGAUAAGAAAUGUACAAGUUACCAUGUUUGAUCUAAAACCUCUUUAAUGAAAGCUGUAUAAAAAUUCAAGUAUGACACAUUUAAAGUAACAAAUCUUAAUGCGAGCACCCAGCAUGUCACGGUCAAUCUGUGUUGAAAGUUGUUCUGUAAGAUCUCUUCUUCAAAUUCUCUAAGAAGAUCUUCUCCUCUUCGAGGAAUUCACGGUCCUGUGGGGAGGAAGAGGAAGUUAUUGGGAAAAGAAACUUUAAAGUGCUUCAAGAAAAUUGUUAAUCUAUCAUUGCAGCUAAUCAAAUGUGAUUGUGAGCCAUAACCAGUUAUAAAAACCCUGUUUCAGUUUCUGAUUGACAUUGAAUAAAAACAGUAACUAUCU